GCCGGAGUGGCGGAACUGGCAGACGCGGGAGAUUCAAAAUCUCCUGCCCGCAAGGGCGUGGGGGUUCGAAUCCCUCCUCCGGCA
RNAcentral lists this transfer RNA (84 nucleotides) under Thermocrinis ruber. RNAcentral describes it as "tRNA-Leu (CAA) (tRNA-Leu-CAA-1-1)". It matches the Rfam family "tRNA". From Rfam's summary of the family: Transfer RNA (tRNA) molecules are approximately 80 nucleotides in length. Their secondary structure includes four short double-helical elements and three loops (D, anti-codon, and T loops). Lineage: Bacteria; Pseudomonadati; Aquificota; Aquificia; Aquificales; Aquificaceae. The record is from RNAcentral. RNAcentral also lists the same sequence under 1 other name.